GCCAGGCGUGGUGGCUCACGCCUGUAAUCCCAGCACUUUGGGAGGCUGAGGUGGGUGGAUCACCUGAGGUCGGGAGUUCGAUAUCAGCCUGACCAACAUGGAGAAACCCCGCCUCCA
Unclassified non-coding RNA from Callithrix jacchus (white-tufted-ear marmoset), 117 nucleotides. It matches the Rfam family "Metazoan signal recognition particle RNA". Rfam says of the family: The signal recognition particle (SRP) is a universally conserved ribonucleoprotein. It is involved in the co-translational targeting of proteins to membranes. The record is from Ensembl. Lineage: Eukaryota; Metazoa; Chordata; Mammalia; Primates; Cebidae.